Molecule: transfer RNA, 72 nt
Filed under: Phycisphaerales bacterium
Lineage: Bacteria; Pseudomonadati; Planctomycetota; Phycisphaerae; Phycisphaerales
Also listed under: 1 other name
Description: tRNA-Ile
Rfam family: tRNA
About the family: Transfer RNA (tRNA) molecules are approximately 80 nucleotides in length. Their secondary structure includes four short double-helical elements and three loops (D, anti-codon, and T loops).
Source: RNAcentral
CCCCCUGUAGCUCAGCGGUAGAGCAGUCGGCUCAUAAUCGAUUGGUCCCCGGUUCGAAUCCGGGCGGGGGGA